UUUCUCUCUUUCCCUCUUUCUUCCUUUCUGAAAUCAAUAAAAAUAUAUAUAUUUUAAAAUAGAUAUGAUACCAAGGAAGGCUACCUGCUAGGUUGAUCAAACAGUGCUAUUGAGUUGUCUUGAGGAUAUCAGCUUCAAUCAGGGGAAGAAAAACAAAGGUGGGAAGGGUAUGUCAAGGAGGGGGAACACCUGGGAACACAGAAUUUCAAGAGCAUGGGUUUCAAGUCCAGUGAGGUCUUCCCUUCAAAUGACAAUUUGGGCAGAGGCAGUACAACUAGCAGCAGUCUAUCAUUCUUUAUAGGAAACUGAUUUCAGAUACAUCGGUGGCAGAAGAUGAGGGGUUACAACAACAAUCACCACCUCCGGGCUUGAGGCAUCAUCCACUUAGGCCAAGAGGAUGAGAUGGCUGCGGUCUGAGUCUGCAGACCUUUCCCUCAAAGAGAGGAGCUGAAGCUCAGGUUUGCCAGAGAAGGCACCACAUCUGAUUUCUGUAAGAUUCCAUAAGAUCCAAAGAUUAAUGGGAGGAACAAGAUGCAGCCAGAAGAAUUUGAAAAGCAUGUCCUUUGGAGAGGAUUGAAAAAGAAAAAACAAAGAAGGGGAGUCAAAUCAUCUACAGACACAGCUUCCAGGCAGGGGCCCUUAUAAUUUACAGCAAACAGCUUCUGCAAACCGCAUGCCUGAAAGGAAAACAAAGCAAUUGAGGUUGGAGGAGAAAUGCCAUUUGCAAGUACAUUCUGUCCUCACUCUGCUUCUUCCCAAUUCUAACAAGACCAUCAGGUGUACUGUU
Long non-coding RNA from Myotis lucifugus (little brown bat), 787 nucleotides. RefSeq lists it as uncharacterized. The record is from RefSeq and is a predicted model, not a curated record. Lineage: Eukaryota; Metazoa; Chordata; Mammalia; Chiroptera; Vespertilionidae. The transcript is spliced from 4 exons.